RNAcentral lists this ribosomal RNA (339 nucleotides) under uncultured soil bacterium. RNAcentral describes it as "bacterial SSU rRNA". It matches the Rfam family "Bacterial small subunit ribosomal RNA", at positions 26 to 361 of the family's 1533-position model. The record is from RNAcentral.
AGAGUGAACGCUGGCGGUAGGCCUAACACAUACAAGUCGAACGGCAGCACAGUGGUAGCAAUACCAUGGGUGGCGAGUGGCGGACGGGUGAGGAAUACAUCGGAAUCUACCUUUUCGUGGGGGAUAACGUAGGGAAACUUACGCUAAUACCGCAUACGCCCUUCGGGGGAAAGCCGGGGAUCGCAGGACCUGGCGCGGAUAGAUGAGCCGAUGUCGGAUUAGCUAGUUGGUGAGGUAAUGGCUCACCAAGGCGACGAUCCGUAGCUGGUCUGAGAGGAUGAUCAGCCACACUGGAACUGAGACACGGUCCAGACUCCGUAGGGAGCAGCAGGUGGGGAA